This is a non-coding RNA of Phrynosoma platyrhinos (Desert horned lizard), 72 nucleotides long. Lineage: Eukaryota; Metazoa; Chordata; Lepidosauria; Squamata; Phrynosomatidae. The record is from the annotation of a GenBank genome assembly.
GCCAGUGUGGCACAGUGGUUUGAGUGUUGAACUGCAACUCUGGAGAUCAGGAUUUGAUUCCCAGCACAGCCA